This 1512-nucleotide long non-coding RNA is filed under the name Scleropages formosus (Asian bonytongue). RNAcentral describes it as "lncRNA (ENSSFOG00015028706.1)". Lineage: Eukaryota; Metazoa; Chordata; Actinopteri; Osteoglossiformes; Osteoglossidae. The record is from RNAcentral.
GCGAGUCUCCCCGGUUCAUUAUAAGUCCUGGCAGAGCGGGGCUCGCCGUGUUUGAUUGGGAAAGUUUUGCGGCGCCUUUCUUUCCCCGAGUUGGGAUGCACGAGAAAAGUAUGCUAAUUAGCGAGCCUACCCUCAAAGCCGGAGUUCCGUCAAAAGCUGUAAUGUCAUCAUAAACUCCAAAUUAACCGUUUUCCCUUUGAUAUUAAGCUCUGUGCUGCAUGACAAGAGCUACCGUUUUAAUUUAACAGGGGGAAAAAAAAAAAAGUAGAGGUUCCGUCGUCGUCUGGCAUGAGCGGCGGCGAUAAAAAAAAAAAUAAAAAAGUUGGUUUCGAAAGGCACGAGCACCAGAGGAAGCGCGAGACGUGGUCCCGAUUGUGUUGCACGAAAACGUAACGCGGUUAUCCCUCCUCUCAAGAAACAGCUUUCCCCCCCGCUUCUACCUCUAUUUUAUGGGUUUAAUAAUACUGCGAAAAGGUUGCGCGCAAAUUUUUGUCUGGCAGACACCGACAGGUUUGUUUUAGACACUGGCGGAAUAGAGAACAGACAUAAUUACACCCUAGGAGGAACCCGGUACAAACACGCGCGCGCGCGCGCAUGCGCACAACACACAUCGCUGAGGAGAGAGGUCGCGGGCCACCGAGGAAGGAAGCCGAAUUCGGGAGGACUUGUCAGGAUCAUUCGGAUCGGCCGCCAGCGAGCGUCUUCCCGCCUGAGACGGGCUGACAGCUCUGCGGAGCGAUGAUGUAUUCCCACCAGGUGCGCCUGCAUCUUGGCUCCCAUUUCGAAGAAAGGAGGGAUGGUUCAGCAAGGGCUGAUUAUUCGACUGCUGUGCAAAUUGCAUUAUCCACAAUGCUUACGCUGCGUCCUUUCAGGAAAUGAGAAUGGGACUCGAAUCGAGGUUCUUCUUUCCACUCAAAUAUCGCCACUUCAGCCGCGGGGUCGCAGUGAGCCGGAGCCUAUCCCAGCAACACGGGGCGCAAGGCAGAAGGGGGAGGGGACACACCCCGGACGGGACGCCUGUCCGCCACGAGGCGCCCCAAGCAGGGCUCGAACCUCAGACCCGCCACACAGCAGGCGGAGGCCAAACCCGCCGCGCCGCGCCGCGCCGCGCCGCGCCCCCUGGGCACAUCUUGAAAUGCUCUAAAUGUAAGGAGGAAGCUGGGUUCCUGCCUUUCUGAGCGACAGGUCCCGCUGUAGCAAUGGCGUGGGUUUCAAAAAGCCGGAUGUCUACCCUAAGCCAGCGUGUAAAAACGAGUCGACGCGAAAGAUGGUGCCCAAUCAGGACAGCGUACUCGCGCUGAACAGGACCGCUGGCUUCGGAACGGGUUCGGGUUUUAUGACUUUUGAUCCAUGCAGUACCCGAUGCUUGUCCUCAGCAACGUCUGAAGAUCGUGAGGAACAUGGCGAUAAGACAACAACGCCAGACAUGUAACAAGCGCCUGGUUGAACAUGUCUGAAAACUGUCCAGCAUCACCAGCACUAUGAAUAAAUGCAAAAGUUCCUUAUGACUCA